Molecule: transfer-messenger RNA, 411 nt
Filed under: Candidatus Babeliae
Lineage: Bacteria
Description: GWF2-32-72 sp000989525 Standard tmRNA
Rfam family: transfer-messenger RNA
About the family: Bacterial tmRNA, also known as 10Sa RNA or SsrA, is named for its dual tRNA and mRNA-like properties. Its role is to liberate the mRNA from a stalled ribosome.
Source: RNAcentral
GGGGGCGUACUGGCUUCGACGGGGUAUAGAUGGUUUUGAGAGCAUGUCGAGCUUUGAUUGGGUGCUCGUUAAAAAAUCGGUCAAACAAAAUAAAUGCAGAAUCUUUUGUUUCUGUUGUUAAGUCCUUCUUUAGUUCGCUAUUUGGCGGAUCCGAAAUGGUUCCUUCAGUAGCUUAAUUUAGGCACUUAGCCUUGUUGCAAGGCUCACCUGUUGGCUGAGUAACACGUAUAACUUAGACGGGUCUGUUGAGUUAGGAUUUUUGGUUUUGUAGCUCAAUUAGUAUCACCAAACCGACUUGCAAACUGAUCUUUGCUUUCAAGGUGGCUUGCACAGUAUAAUUGGAAGAUAAGCAUGUAGCGCUUGAAGCUUGACAUAUUUCGGACAUGGGUUCGAUUCCCAUCGCCUCCACCA